GACGAACGCUGGCGGCGUGCUUAACACAUGCAAGUCGAACGGAAAGGCCCUGCUUUUGUGGGGUGCUCGAGUGGCGAACGGGUGAGUAACACGUGAGUAACCUGCCCUUGACUUUGGGAUAACUUCAGGAAACUGGGGCUAAUACCGGAUAGGAGCUCCUGCUGCAUGGUGGGGGUUGGAAAGUUUCGGCGGUUGGGGAUGGACUCGCGGCUUAUCAGCUUGUUGGUGGGGUAGUGGCUUACCAAGGCUUUGACGGGUAGCCGGCCUGAGAGGGUGACCGGCCACAUUGGGACUGAGAUACGGCCCAGACGCCUACGGGAGGCAGCAGUGGGGAAUAUUGCACAAUGGGCGGAAGUCUGAUGCAGCAACGCCGCGUGCGGGAUGACGGCCUGCGGGUUGUAAACCGCUUUCGCCUGUGACGAAGCGUGAGUGACGGUAAUGGGUAAAGAAGCACCGGCUAACUACGUG
RNAcentral lists this ribosomal RNA (468 nucleotides) under uncultured bacterium. RNAcentral's name for it is "partial 16S ribosomal RNA". It matches the Rfam family "Bacterial small subunit ribosomal RNA", at positions 28 to 507 of the family's 1533-position model. The record is from RNAcentral.